RNAcentral lists this transfer RNA (73 nucleotides) under Procavia capensis (Cape rock hyrax). RNAcentral describes it as "tRNA-Gly (TCC) (tRNA-Gly-TCC-15-1)". It matches the Rfam family "tRNA". From Rfam's summary of the family: Transfer RNA (tRNA) molecules are approximately 80 nucleotides in length. Their secondary structure includes four short double-helical elements and three loops (D, anti-codon, and T loops). Lineage: Eukaryota; Metazoa; Chordata; Mammalia; Hyracoidea; Procaviidae. The record is from RNAcentral.
GGAUGAUGGUAGUUCAGUGGUAGAAUUCUUACCUUCCAUGCAAGAGAUCCAGGUUCAAUUCCUGGCCAAUGCA